This 29-nucleotide non-coding RNA is filed under the name Homo sapiens (human). The record is from RNAcentral. Lineage: Eukaryota; Metazoa; Chordata; Mammalia; Primates; Hominidae.
UGCUUGUGGUUUAGGGAAAUUUGAGCAAA